CCUACGGGAGGCAGCAGUGGGGAAUAUUGCACAAUGGGGGAAACCCUGAUGCAGCGACGCCGCGUGAGUGAAGAAGUAUUUCGGUACGUAAAGCUCUAUCAGCAGGGAAGAAAAUGACGGUACCUGACUAAGAAGCCCCGGCUAACUACGUGCCAGCAGCCGCGGUAAUACGUAGGGGGCAAGCGUUAUCCGGAUUUACUGGGUGUAAAGGGAGCGUAGACGGCAGCGCAAGGCUGGAGUGAAAUCCCAUGGCUUAACCAUGGAACUGCUUUGGAAACUGUGCAGCUAGAGUGCAGGAGAGGUAAGCGGAAUGCCUGGUGUAGCGGUGAAAUGCGUAGAUAUUAGGAGGAACACCAGUGGCGAAGGCGGCUUACUGGACUGUAACUGACGUUGAGGCUCGAAAGCGUGGGGAGCAAACAGGAUUAGAUACCCUGGUAGUC
This 440-nucleotide ribosomal RNA is filed under the name uncultured bacterium. Its description in RNAcentral is "partial 16S ribosomal RNA". It matches the Rfam family "Bacterial small subunit ribosomal RNA", at positions 338 to 795 of the family's 1533-position model. The record is from RNAcentral.